ACGCUCGACACCUACGGGAGGUAGCAGUGGGGAAUAUUGCACAAUGGGGGAAACCCGUGAUGCAGCGACGCCGCGUGGAGGAAGAAGGUCUUCGGAUUGUAAACUCCUGUUGUUGGGGAAAAAGAGGAUGGUACCCAACAAGGAAGUGACGGCUAACUACGUGCCAGAGCCGCGGUAAUCUGAGGCGGGCGUGGCGAAGGC
Molecule: ribosomal RNA, 201 nt
Filed under: uncultured bacterium
Lineage: Bacteria
Description: partial 16S ribosomal RNA
Rfam family: Bacterial small subunit ribosomal RNA
Source: RNAcentral